UUGUGCCAGCAGCCGCGGUAAUACGAAGGGGGCUAGCGUUGCUCGGAAUCACUGGGCGUAAAGGGCGCGUAGGCGGCUUGCCAAGUCGGGGGUGAAAGCCCGUGGCUCAACCACGGAAUGGCCUUCGAUACUGGCAGGCUUGAGACCGGAAGAGGACAGCGGAACUGCGAGUGUAGAGGUGAAAUUCGUAGAUAUUCGCAAGAACACCAGUGGCGAAGGCGGCUGUCUGGUCCGGUUCUGACGCUGAGGCGCGAAAGCGUGGGGAGCAAACAGGAUUA
RNAcentral lists this ribosomal RNA (278 nucleotides) under uncultured Hyphomicrobiales bacterium. RNAcentral's name for it is "uncultured Rhizobiales bacterium partial 16S ribosomal RNA". It matches the Rfam family "Bacterial small subunit ribosomal RNA", at positions 503 to 780 of the family's 1533-position model. The record is from RNAcentral. Lineage: Bacteria; Pseudomonadati; Pseudomonadota; Alphaproteobacteria; Hyphomicrobiales.